GGAUUUUAGAAGGCAAGAACACAGGUGUAAAGGCUUGAAAGUUUGUGGUAACUAAAGAAAUUUGGAUUGAUUUUGGGCUCUGAUACCAAAAUUGAUGUAAAAUAAAGGGAAAGAACCAAGAGGAAGAGAAAUCAAGGACCAAUUCUUGAGAAAAAGAACUAAUUCUUAAGAUAUUAUUGAUCUCAUAGAAAUUGUCAUAACAAAAC
RNAcentral lists this unclassified non-coding RNA (206 nucleotides) under Hevea brasiliensis (rubber tree). The record is from RNAcentral. Lineage: Eukaryota; Viridiplantae; Streptophyta; Magnoliopsida; Malpighiales; Euphorbiaceae.